GAUGAACGCUGGCGGCGUGCUUAACACAUGCAAGUCGAACGGAAAGGCUCCUGCUUGCAGGGGUACUCGAGUGGCGAACGGGUGAGUAACACGUGGGUGAUCCGCCCUGCACUUCGGGAUAAGCCUGGGAAACUGGGUCUAAUACCGGAUAGGACGAUGGUUUGGAUGCCAUUGUGGAAAGUUUUUCGGUGUGGGAUGAGCUCGCGGCCUAUCAGCUUGUUGGUGGGGUAAUGGCCUACCAAGGCGUCGACGGGUAGCCGGCCUGAGAGGGUGUACGGCCACAUUGGGACUGAGAUACGGCCCAGACUCCUACGGGAGGCAGCAGUGGGGAGUAUUGCACAAUGGGCGCAAGCCUGAUGCAGCGACGCCGCGUGGGGGAUGACGGCCUUCGGGUUGUAAACUCCUUUCGCUAGGGACGAAGCGCAAGUGACGGUACCUGGAGAAGAAGCACCGGCUAACUACGUG
Molecule: ribosomal RNA, 465 nt
Filed under: uncultured bacterium
Lineage: Bacteria
Description: partial 16S ribosomal RNA
Rfam family: Bacterial small subunit ribosomal RNA
Source: RNAcentral